UGAGGAAUAUUGGUCAAUGGGCGGCUAGCCUGAACCAGCCAAGUAGCGUGAAGGAUGACUGCCCUAUGGGUUGUAAACUUCUUUUAUAUGGGAAUAAAGUGCAGUAUGUAUACUGCUUUGCAUGUACCUUAUGAAUAAGGAUCGGCUAACUCCGUGCC
This 158-nucleotide ribosomal RNA is filed under the name uncultured bacterium. RNAcentral's name for it is "partial 16S ribosomal RNA". It matches the Rfam family "Bacterial small subunit ribosomal RNA", at positions 355 to 509 of the family's 1533-position model. The record is from RNAcentral.